RNAcentral lists this ribosomal RNA (447 nucleotides) under uncultured bacterium. Its description in RNAcentral is "partial 16S ribosomal RNA". It matches the Rfam family "Bacterial small subunit ribosomal RNA", at positions 29 to 523 of the family's 1533-position model. The record is from RNAcentral.
AACGAACGCUGGCGGCAGGCUUAACACAUGCAAGUCGGACGCCCCGCAAGGGGAGUGGCAGACGGGUGAGUAACACGUGGGAACGUACCCUUUGGUUCGGAAUAACUUGGGGAAACUCAAGCUAAUACCGGAUAAGCCCUUAUGGGGAAAGGUUUACUGCCGAAGGAUCGGCCCGCGUCUGAUUAGCUAGUUGGUGAGGUAACGGCUCACCAAGGCGACGAUCAGUAGCUGGUCUGAGAGGAUGAUCAGCCACACUGGGACUGAGACACGGCCCAGACUCAUACGGGAGGCAGUAGUGGGGAAUAUUGGACAAUGGGGGCAACCCUGAUCCAGCCAUGCCGCGUGAGUGAUGAAGGCCUUAGGGUUGUAAAGCUCUUUUACCCGGGACGAUAAUGACUGUACCGGGAGAAUAAGCCCCGGCUAACUUCGUGCCAGCAGCCGCAGUAA